RNAcentral lists this ribosomal RNA (420 nucleotides) under uncultured eukaryote. RNAcentral describes it as "SSU rRNA". It matches the Rfam family "Eukaryotic small subunit ribosomal RNA", at positions 592 to 1017 of the family's 1831-position model. The record is from RNAcentral.
CAAUAGCGUAUAUUAAAGUUGUUGCGGUUAAAAAGCUCGUAGUUGGAUUUCUGCCGAGGACGACCGGUCCGCCCUCUGGGUGAGUAUCUGGCUUGGCCUGGGCAUCUUCUUGGAGAACGUAUCUGCACUUGACUGUGUGGUGCGGUAUCCAGGACUUUACUUGAGGAAAUUAGAGUGUUUCAAGCAGGCAUACGCCUUGAAUACAUUAGCAUGGAAUAAUAAGAUAGGACCUGAGUUCUAUUUUGUUGGUUUCUAGAGCUUAGGUAAUGAUUAAUAGGGACACCUGGGGGCAUUCGUAUUAACGCGUCAGAGGUGAAAUUCUUGGAUUGCGUUACGACGAACUUCGGCGAAAGCAUUUGCCAAGGAUGUUUUCAUUGAUCAAGAACGAAAGUGUGGGGAUUCGAAGAUGAUUAGAUACCG